GGAGAACAGAUAAGAGUGCUGCCUUGCCGUCACAAGUUCCAUGCAGCUUGUAUGGACAUGUGGCUCACAUCCUGGAGAUCAUUCUGCCCCGUAUACAAGCGAGAUGCAGGUGCUGGAAUGACAGGCCCUCCUGCCUCGGAGAUCAUUCCGGUACACUUGCCUUCUCUGUCAUCCACAUUCCGGUCGAGCGUGGGAGCAUCCCCUCCCAGACCAAUAAGCCGGCGUCCUUCGUCGCAGUCCAUAUCUCGGGUCUACUCUGCUUCCGGAACCCCGCACUCUCUCAACACCCAAAGACCUUUCAGAAACUCAUCAACCAUGAGCAUAAGCAGAAGCAGCGCAGACCUUGCAAACAUGUCAUCGCCCUACCUCCGCACCUCGCUCCUCCGCGGAGGCUCCACACACUCCCUGGUCGGUAACCACCUGUCUCCACCAGUGAAUAUAAGUUACGCUUAUGCCCCACCACAGAUGUACAAUUCCGGCUAUCCGUCACCCAGCCCGCACGCCGGUUCUUCCUACAUCAACUCUGGGUACGGAUCGCCGUCGGGCUACUACCUGGGCUCGUCCAGCCAGCAUCGGUCUUCGGUGUACCUGAGGCGCUGUGGGGAGUCAGGGCCAAGCCUGUCCACCAUGGCCCCUCAGUCACCACAGCAGCAGCAGUCCCAGCUGCUGCGGCACGGCGGUGACUCAGAUGCGAUCCUGAACCUGGCGGACGCAUCGUCGGCCCAGUCCUUCCAUCAGUCCUACCUGAGGCACUACGACGACUCGGACGCGAGCCUGUCCGCCAUGGCUUCGUCAGGGCAGUCGCUGCCGGGAUGCUGA
This 819-nucleotide ribosomal RNA is filed under the name Triticum aestivum (bread wheat). RNAcentral describes it as "partial small subunit ribosomal RNA". The record is from RNAcentral. Lineage: Eukaryota; Viridiplantae; Streptophyta; Magnoliopsida; Poales; Poaceae.